Molecule: ribosomal RNA, 481 nt
Filed under: uncultured bacterium
Lineage: Bacteria
Description: partial 16S ribosomal RNA
Rfam family: Bacterial small subunit ribosomal RNA
Source: RNAcentral
GAUGAACGCUGGCGGCGUGCUUAACACAUGCAAGUCGAACGAAGCACUUUAUUUGAUUUCCUUCGGGACUGAUUAUUUUGUGACUGAGUGGCGGACGGGUGAGUAACGCGUGGGUAACCUGCCUUGUACAGGGGGCUAACAGUUGGAAACGGCUGCUAAUACCGCAUAAGCGCACAGCAUCGCAUGAUGCAGUGUGAAAAACUCCGGUGGUAUAAGAUGGACCCGCGUUGGAUUAGCUAGUUGGUGAGGUAACGGCCCACCAAGGCGACGAUCCAUAGCCGACCUGAGAGGGUGACCGGCCACAUUGGGACUGAGACACGGCCCAAACUCCUACGGGAGGCAGCAGUGGGGAAUAUUGCACAAUGGGCGAAAGCAUGAUGCAGCGACGCCGCGUGAGCGAAGAAGUAUUUCGGUAUGUAAAGCUCUAUCAGCAGGGAAGAUAAUGACGGUACCUGACUAAGAAGCACCGGCUAAAUACGUG